GACGAACGCUGGCGGCGUGCUUAACACAUGCAAGUCGAACGGAAAGGCCCUGCUUUUGUGGCGUGCUCGAGUGGCGAACGGGUGAGUAACACGUGAGUAACCUGCCCUUGACUUUGGGAUAACUUCAGGAAACUGGGGCUAAUACCGGAUAGGAGCUCCUGCUGCAUGGUGGGGGUUGGAAAGUUUCGGCGGUUGGGGAUGGACUCGCGGCUUAUCAGCUUGUUGGUGGGGUAGUGGCUUACCAAGGCUUUGACGGGUAGCCGGCCUGAGAGGGUGACCGGCCACAUUGGGACUGAGAUACGGCCCAGACUCCUACGGGAGGCAGCAGUGGGGAAUAUUGCACAAUGGGCGGAAGCCUGAUGCAGCAACGCCGCGUGCGGGAUGACGGCCUUCGAGGUGUAAACCGCUUUCGCCUGUGACGAAGAGUGAGUGACGGUAAUGGGUAAAGAAGCACCGGCUAACUACGUG
RNAcentral lists this ribosomal RNA (468 nucleotides) under uncultured bacterium. RNAcentral describes it as "partial 16S ribosomal RNA". It matches the Rfam family "Bacterial small subunit ribosomal RNA", at positions 28 to 507 of the family's 1533-position model. The record is from RNAcentral.